Molecule: ribosomal RNA, 2865 nt
Filed under: Enterobacter cloacae subsp. cloacae
Lineage: Bacteria; Pseudomonadati; Pseudomonadota; Gammaproteobacteria; Enterobacterales; Enterobacteriaceae
Description: 23S ribosomal RNA
Rfam family: Bacterial large subunit ribosomal RNA
Source: RNAcentral
AGUUUAGCAGACUAAGCGUACACGGUGGAUGCCACGGCAGUCAGAGGCGAUGAGACGUGCUAAUCUGCGAAAAGCGCCGGCAAGGUGUCUGAACCCUUGGCCCGGCGAUGUAUUAGAUAGAGCCCAGUGCAAUCCGUUACUAUCGUUAACUGAAUACAUAGGUUAACGAGGCGAACCGGGGAACUGGAAACAUCUAAGUACCCCGAGGAAAAGAAAUCAACCAAGAUUCCCCAGUAGCGGCGAGGCGAACAGAAGAUAGCGAAGUCGGAUGGCGUGGUUAGUGGAAGCGUCUGGAAGUCGCACGUACAGGGUGAAAGUCCCGUACACGAAAAUGCACAGGCUGUGAACUCCAGAAGAGUAGGGCCAGGACACGUGGUAUCCUGUCUGAAUAUGGGGACCAUCCUCAAGGCUAAAUACUCCUGACUGGCCGAUAAGUGAACUAUUUAGGGAAAGGCAGAAAAAGAACCCCGGCGAGGGGAGUGAAAGAACCUGGAAACCGUGUACGUACAAACAGUGGGAGCACCUUCGUGGUGUGACUGCGUACCUUUGUAUAAUGGGUCAGCGACUUAUAUUCUGUAGCAAGUUAACCGUAUAGGGAGCCGAAGGAAACCAGUCUUAACUGGGCGUUAAGUACCCGGUAUAGAACCAAACCCGGUGAUCUAGCCAUGGGCAGGUUGAAGGUUGAGUAACACUAACUGGAGGACCGAACCGACUAAUGUUGAAAAAUUAGCGGAUGACCUGUGGCUGGGGUGAAAGGCCCAAUCAAACCGGGAGAUAGCUGGUUCUCCCAAAGCUAUUUAGGUAGCGCCUCGUGAACUCAUCUUCGGGGUAGAGCACUGUUCGGCUAGGGGCCAUCCCGGCUUACCAACCCGAUGCAAACUACGAAUACCGAAGAAUGUUAUCACAGGAGACACACGGCGGGUGCUAACGUCCGUCGUGAAGAGGAAACAACUAAGACCGCCAGCUAAGGUCCCAAAGUCAUGGUUAAGUGAAACGAUAUUAGGAAGGCCCAGACAGGAUGUUGAAGCACAGAAGCAGCCAUCAUUUAAAGAAAGCGUAAUAGCUCACUGGUCGAGUCGGCCUGCGCGGAAGAUGUAACGAGGCUAAACCAUGCACCGAAGCUGCAGCAGCGACGCAACAUGCGUUGUUGGGUAGGGAGCGUUCUGUAAGCCGUUGAAGGUGGCCUGCCAGGGUUGCUGGAGGUAUCAGAGUGCAGCGAAUGGAUUUAAGUAACGAUAAAGCGGGUGAAAAGCCCGCUCGCCGGAAGACCAAGGUUCCUGUCCAGCAUUAAUCAGGGCAGGGUGAAUUCGACCCUAAGGCUGGGCCGAAGGCGUAAUCGAUGGAAACAAAGGUUAAUAUUCCUGUACUUUGGUAUUUACUGCGAAGGGGGACAGAGAAAGGCUAUAUUAGCCGGGCGACGGUUGUCGGUUUAAGCAUGUAGGCGGAGGUUCAGGUAAAUCCGGUACCUUUUAACGCUGAGGUGUGAUGACGGGCACUACGGUGCUGAAGUAACAAAUGCCCUGCUUCGGGGGAAAAGCCUCUAAGCAUCAAGUAACACGAAAUCGUACCCCAAACCGACACAGGUGGUCAAUUGAAAUACCAAGGCGCUUGAGAGAACUCAGGUGAAGGAACUGACAAAAAAUCGUGCUGCUAACUUCGGAAAGGCACGCUGAUAUAGGUGAAGCCCCUGCGGGGUGGAGCUGAAAUCAGUCGAAGAUACCAGCUGGCUGCAACUGUUUAUUAAAAACACAGCACUGUGCAAACACGAAAGUGGACGUAUACGUGUGACGCCAGUGCCGGAAGGUUAAUUGAUGGGGUUAGCGGCAACGCGAAGCUCUUGAUCGAAGCCCCGGUAAACGGCGGCCGUAACUAUAACGGUCCCUAAGGUAGCGAAAUUCCCUUGUCGGGUUUCAAGUUCCGACUCAAAAUGAAUGGCGUAAUGAUGGCGAGCUGUCUCCACCCGAGACUCAGUGAAGAGUGAACUCGCUGUGAAGAUGCAGUGUAUUACCCGCAGCAAGACGGAAAGGCCCCCGUGAACCUUUACUAACAAGCUGACACUGAACACUGGUCCUUGAUGUGUAGAAGGAUCAGGUCGGAGGCACGGAAGCGUGGACGCCGGUCUGCGUGACCGACGCGAAGCCUACCGCUAAUAUGGCUGGGUGUUCUAGCUGAACCCGUUACCCAGGUUGCGGACCGUCAUCUAGAUGAUGGAUUGACUGGGCUGAUCUGCCAAAGUAACGAGGCACGAAGGAUUUAGCUAAUCUGGUCGGACAUCGAGUUAGCGGAGUGCAAUGGCGCCAAGCUAGCUUGACUGCGAGGUGACGGCUCGAGCAGGUGCGAAAGCAGGUCAUAAUGAUCCGGUAGUUCAUGAAUGGAAGGGCAUCGCUCAACGGAUAAAGGUACUCCGGGACCAACAGGCUGAUACCGCCCAAGAGUUCAUAUCGACGGCGGUGUUUGGCACCUGGAUGUCGGCUCAUCACAUCCUGGGGCUGAAGUAGGUCCUGGCGGUAUGGCUGUUCGCCAUUUAAAGUGGUACGCGAGCUGGGUUUAGAACGUCGUGAGACAGUUCGGUCCCUAUCUCGCCGGGGCGCUGGAGAAUUGAGGGGGCUGCUCCUAGUACGAGAGGACCGGAGUGGACGCAUCACUGGUGUUCGGGUUGUCGCCCAAAGGCACUGCCCGGUAGCUAAAUGCGGAAGAGAUAAGUGCUGAAAGCAUCUAAGCACGAAACUUGCCCCGAGAUGAGUUCUCCCUGAGACUUAAAGUCUCCUGAAGGAACGUUAAAGACGAUGACGUUGAUAGGUCGGGUGUGUAAGCGCAGCGAUGCGUUGAGCUAACCGAUACUAAUGAACCGUGAGGCUUAACCUA